UACAUUUUGGUGUAAGGGGCACAAAAAUUUUUGAUAUUUUGAGAGAUAGUUUAAUUCUAUUAAAUGUAA
Molecule: transfer RNA, 69 nt
Filed under: Rhabdoblatta melancholica
Lineage: Eukaryota; Metazoa; Arthropoda; Insecta; Blattodea; Blaberidae
Description: tRNA-Gln
Source: RNAcentral